UGAUGAAGGUCUUCGGAUCGUAAAACUCUGUUAUCAGGGAAGAACAAAUGUGUAAGUAACUGUGCACAUCUUGACGGUACCUGAUCAGAAAGCCACGGCUAACUACGUGCCAGCAGCCGCGGUAAUACGUAGGUGGCAAGCGUUAUCCGGAAUUAUUGGGCGUAAAGCGCGCGUAGGCGGUUUUUUAAGUCUGAUGUGAAAGCCCACGGCUCAACCGUGGAGGGUCAUUGGAAACUGGAAAACUUGAGUGCAGAAGAGGAAAGUGGAAUUCCAUGUGUAGCGGUGAAAUGCGCAGAGAUAUGGAGGAACACCAGUGGCGAAGGCGACUUUCUGGUCUGUAACUGACGCUGAUGUGCGAAAGCGUGGGGAUCAAACAGGAUUAGAUACCCUGGUAGUCCACGCCGUAAACGAUGAGUGCUAAGUGUUAGGGGGGUUUCCGCCCCUUAGUGCUGCAGCUAACGCAUUAAGCACUCCGCCUGGGGAGUACGACCGCAAGGUUGAAACUCAAAGGAAUUGACGGGGACCCGCACAAGCGGUGGAGCAUGUGGUUUAAUUYGAAGCAACGCGAAGA
Molecule: ribosomal RNA, 571 nt
Filed under: Staphylococcus sp.
Lineage: Bacteria; Bacillati; Bacillota; Bacilli; Caryophanales; Staphylococcaceae
Description: bacterial SSU rRNA
Rfam family: Bacterial small subunit ribosomal RNA
Source: RNAcentral